This 583-nucleotide long non-coding RNA is filed under the name Rattus norvegicus (Norway rat). RNAcentral's name for it is "long non-coding RNA NONRATT025632". Lineage: Eukaryota; Metazoa; Chordata; Mammalia; Rodentia; Muridae. The record is from RNAcentral.
GGUAGCCCACGGCAAGCUGCACUACAAGCCCAAUCGAUACUUCAAGAGACAGUCAAGUACUGUGCCUGCCUCCAGGUGUGAGAAUUGCCUCCUGCGCUUCCGCACUCAUCGCUCGCUCUUCAAGCAUCUGCAUGUUUGUAUAGACCAUGGUCAGAACCCAGCCCCGCCACCACCCCCUGCCCUGGACAAAGAGCCACCUGUACCUGAGCGUCCCCCAGAGUCCGACCCUUCGUCCUCCCUGGGCCUGCCAUUCCCACUACUUGAGCCUUUCACCUCUGCCCCCACUGGGCCCUUCCUUCCUUACUUGAACCCUGCACCCUUUGGCCUGAGUCCCCCGAGACUGCGCCCAUUCCUGGCUGCCACUCCAGGGCCACCGACAUCCAGCACUGCCAUCUGGAAGAAGAGUCAAGGUGCUACCAGUAGUCCUAGAAGACCUCAGGGCGGCUCCGAUGCGCCCUCAGGUGCGUGCAGGUGACCACCAGGGACGGGUGGAGGGGCCCUUCAUUCCUGUGCCCUAAGUGGGCCCUGUGAAUGCUGGAAAGCAGCGGUGACUGUCCCUUAAAAUACAUGAUUUUUGCCUUUC